This 577-nucleotide ribosomal RNA is filed under the name Marivagia stellata. RNAcentral describes it as "partial 16S large subunit ribosomal RNA". It matches the Rfam family "Bacterial large subunit ribosomal RNA", at positions 1830 to 2574 of the family's 2925-position model. The record is from RNAcentral. Lineage: Eukaryota; Metazoa; Cnidaria; Scyphozoa; Rhizostomeae; Cepheidae.
GCCCCAUGACUAUAAUGUGGGGUGCAACCUGCUCAGUGGCUAUAAAUAAAAAAUAAUAGUAGUUAAACAGCCGCGGUAACUCUGACCGUGAUAAAGUAGCAUAAUCACUCGUCAUUUAAUUGGUGACUGGAAUGAAUGGUUACACGAAUCUUUAACUGUCUCGAUUACAAAAUUUAUAAAUUUAAAAUAAUAGUGAAGAUGCUAUUUAUUAAUUGUAAGACGAAAAGACCCUAUCGAGCUUUACUAAUAACUUGAAUUUCAAAGAAAAACAGACAUGUUAAGAUAAUUAUUCAAGUAAACUAGUUUGGUUGGGGCGACCACCUCUAAAAAAGUAUCAGAGGAGAUCUAAAGGUUAAUAAGUAAUAUAAGAAAGCCUAACUGUAUAUCUACAAAUUAAUCAGUUACUAUUAGUAGGUUAUAAUGACCCGUUCGAUACAUCUCUUAAUCGAACGACAACGAAAAAAGUUACCGUAGGGAUAACAGGGUAAUAUUUCCGGAGAGUUCAUAUCGAUGGAUAUGUUUGCCACCUCGAUGUUGAAUUGUGAUAUCCUAAAGGUGUAGCAGCUUUAAAGGGUUG